AGCAGUAGCCACGGGAAUACGUAGGGGGCAAGCGUUGUCCGGAAUUAUUGGGCGUAAGGCGCGCGCAGGCGGUUUUUUAAGUCUGGUGUCUAAGUGCGGGGCUCAACCCCGUGACGCACUGGAAACUGGGAGACUUGAGUGCAGGAGAGGAGAGCGGAAUUCCACGUGUAGCGGUGAAAUGCGUAGAGAUGUGGAGGAACACCAGUGGCGAAGGCGGCUCUCUGGACUGUAACUGACGCUGAGGCGCGAAAGCGUGGGGAGCAAACAGGAUUAGAUACCCCAGUAGUCCCUGUCUCUUAUACA
This 303-nucleotide ribosomal RNA is filed under the name uncultured bacterium. RNAcentral's name for it is "partial 16S ribosomal RNA". It matches the Rfam family "Bacterial small subunit ribosomal RNA", at positions 507 to 808 of the family's 1533-position model. The record is from RNAcentral.